Molecule: ribosomal RNA, 495 nt
Filed under: uncultured bacterium
Lineage: Bacteria
Description: partial 16S ribosomal RNA
Rfam family: Bacterial small subunit ribosomal RNA
Source: RNAcentral
GACGAACGCUGGCGGCGUGCCUAAUACAUGCAAGUAGAACGCUGAAGGAGGAGCUUGCUUCUCUGGAUGAGUUGCGAACGGGUGAGUAACGCGUAGGUAACCUGCCUGGUAGCGGGGGAUAACUAUUGGAAAUGAUAGCUAAUACCGCAUAAUAGUAGAUGUUGCAUGACAUUUGCUUAAAAGGUGCAAUUGCAUCACUACCAGAUGGACCUGCGUUGUAUUAGCUAGUUGGUGGGGUAACGGCUCACCAAGGCGACGAUACAUAGCCGACCUGAGAGGGGGCUCGGCCACACUGGGACUGGGACACGGCCCAGACUCCUACGGGAGGCAGCAGUAGGGAAUCUUCGGCAAUGGACGGAAGUCUGACCGAGCAACGCCGCGUGAGUGAAGAAGGUUGUCAGAUCGUAAAGCUCUGUUGUAAGAGAAGAACGAGUGUGAGAGUGGAAAGUUCACACUGUGACGGUAUCUUACCAGAAAGGGACGGCUAACUACGUG